RNAcentral lists this ribosomal RNA (561 nucleotides) under Rhodotorula glutinis. RNAcentral describes it as "eukaryotic LSU rRNA". It matches the Rfam family "Eukaryotic large subunit ribosomal RNA", at positions 81 to 657 of the family's 3401-position model. The record is from RNAcentral. Lineage: Eukaryota; Fungi; Basidiomycota; Microbotryomycetes; Sporidiobolales; Sporidiobolaceae.
UAGUAGCGGCGAGCGAGCGGGAAGAGCUCAAAUUUAUAAUCUGGCACCUUCGGUGUCCGAGUUGUAAUCUCUAGAAGUGUUUUCCGCGUUGGACCGCACACAAGUCUGUUGGAAUACAGCGGCAUAGUGGUGAAACCCCCGUAUAUGGUGCGGACGCCCAGCGCUUUGUGAUACACUUUCAAUGAGUCGAGUUGUUUGGGAAUGCAGCUCAAAUUGGGUGGUAAAUUCCAUCUAAAGCUAAAUAUUGGCGAGAGACCGAUAGCGAACAAGUACCGUGAGGGAAAGAUGAAAAGCACUUUGGAAAGAGAGUUAACAGUACGUGAAAUUGUUGGAAGGGAAACGCUUGAAGUCAGACUUGCUUGCCGGAGCUUGCUUCGGUUUGCAGGCCAGCAUCAGUUUUCCGGGGUGGAUAAUGACGGUUUGAAGGUAGCAGUCUCGGCUGUGUUAUAGCUUUCCGUUGGAUACAUCCUGGGGGACUGAGGAACGCAGCGUGCUUUUUGCGAAAGACUCGUCUUUUUCACGCUUAGGAUGCUGGUGGAAUGGCUUUAAACGACCCGCUGA